AACGAACGCUGGCGGCAUGCCUAACACAUGCAAGUCGAACGAAACCUUCGGGUCUAGUGGCGCACGGGUGCGUAACGCGUGGGAACCUGCCCUUAGGUUCGGAAUAACUCCCCGAAGGGGGUGCUAAUACCGGAUAAUGUCUUCGGACCAAAGAUUUAUCGCCUUUGGAUGGGCCCGCGUUGGAUUAGCUGGUUGGUAGGGUAAAAGCCUACCAAGGCGACGAUCCAUAGCUGGUCUGAGAGGAUGAUCAGCCACACUGGGACUGAGACACGGCCCAGACUCCUACGGGAGGCAGCAGUGGGGAAUAUUGGACAAGGGGCGAAAGCCUGAUCCAGCAACGCCGCGUGAGUGAUGAAGGCCUUAGGGUUGUAAAGCUCUUUUACCCGGGAUGAUAAUGACAGUACCGGGAGAAUAAGCUCCGGCUAACUCCGUG
RNAcentral lists this ribosomal RNA (433 nucleotides) under uncultured bacterium. RNAcentral's name for it is "partial 16S ribosomal RNA". It matches the Rfam family "Bacterial small subunit ribosomal RNA", at positions 29 to 507 of the family's 1533-position model. The record is from RNAcentral.